UGACUNGAGUGCAGAAGGGGAGAGUGGAAUUCCAUGUGUAGCGGUGAAAUGCGUAGAUAUAUGGAGGAACACCAGUGGCGAAAGCGGCUCUCUGGUCUGUCACUGACGCUGAGGCUCGAAAGCGUGGGUAGCGAACAGGAUUAGAUACCCUGGUAGUNCACGCCGUAAACGAUGAGUGCUAGGUGUUAGGCCCUUUCCGGGGCUUAGUGCCGGAGCUAACGCAAUAAGCACUCCGCCUGGGGAGUACGACCGCAAGGUUGAAACUCAAAGGAAUUGACGGGGGCCCGCACAAGCGGUGGAGCAUGUGGUUUAAUUCGAAGCAACGCGAAGAACCUUACCAGGUCUUGACAUCCCGAUGCUAUUCUUAGAGAUAGGAAGUUACUUCGGUACAUCGGAGACAGGUGGUGCAUGGUUGUCGUCAGCUCGUGUCGUGAGAUGUUGGGUUAAGUCCCGCAACGAGCGCAACCCUUAUUGUUAGUUGCCAUCAUUAAGUUGGGCACUCUAGCGAGACUGCCGGUAAUAAACCGGAGGGAGGUGGGGAUGACGUCAAAUCAUCAUGCCCCUUAUGACCUGGGCUACACACGUGCUACAAUGGUCGGUACAACGAGUUGCGAGCCGGUGACGGCAAGCUAAUCUCUGAAAGCCGAUCUCAGUUCGGAUUGGAGGCUGCAACUCGCCUCCAUGAAGUCGGAAUCGCUAGUAAUCGCGGAUCAGCACGCCGCGGUGAAUACGUUCCCGGGCCUUGUACACACCGCCCGUCACACCACGAGAGUUUGUAACACCCGAAG
This 788-nucleotide ribosomal RNA is filed under the name uncultured bacterium. Its description in RNAcentral is "bacterial SSU rRNA". It matches the Rfam family "Bacterial small subunit ribosomal RNA", at positions 638 to 1426 of the family's 1533-position model. The record is from RNAcentral.